CCUACGGGAGGCAGCAGUAGGGAAUAUUGCUCAAUGGGGGAAACCCUGAAGCAGCAACGCCGCGUGGAGGAUGAAGGUUUUCGGAUUGUAAACUCCUUUUGUUAGAGAAGAUAAUUACGGUAUCUAACGAAUAAGCACCGGCUAACACCGUGCCAGCAGCCGCGGUCAUACGGAGGGUGCAAGCGUUACUCGGAAUCACUGGGCGUAAAGAGCGCGUAGGCGGGAUAGCAAGUCAGAUGUGAAAACCUAUGGCUUAACCAUAGAACUGCAUUUGAAACUGUUAAUCUAGAGUAUGGGAGAGGUAGGUGGAAUUCUUGGUGUAGGGGUAAAAUCCGUAGAGAUCAAGAGGAAUACUCAUUGCGAAGGCGACCUGCUAGAACAUAACUGACGCUGAUGCGCGAAAGCGUGGGGAGCAAACAGGAUUAGAUACCCCAGUAGUC
This 440-nucleotide ribosomal RNA is filed under the name uncultured bacterium. RNAcentral describes it as "partial 16S ribosomal RNA". It matches the Rfam family "Bacterial small subunit ribosomal RNA", at positions 338 to 795 of the family's 1533-position model. The record is from RNAcentral.